RNAcentral lists this long non-coding RNA (336 nucleotides) under Vulpes vulpes (red fox). Its description in RNAcentral is "lncRNA (ENSVVUG00000027785.1)". Lineage: Eukaryota; Metazoa; Chordata; Mammalia; Carnivora; Canidae. The record is from RNAcentral.
CGCGCACGCCUCACCGCGGGGUCCCCGGGGCUCACGUGACGCCGGAAGUGGCCGCCGCUGCGCAUGCGCCCGGAGGGUCUCAGCGGCACGUGCCCACACGGGCUGCGCACUGAAGAUGACUGCCGCGUGGGGUCCAGUGUGAGGCGGCGGAGGGGGAACUCCGCCAGCUCUCCAGCUCCUCACGCCCCGGGGCUGAGCCGGGGGUCCCUGGCUUGUUGGGCGGCGGCCGUCCGGCAGCCGUGGAGGCUCACGAGGGAGGAAACAGGGUCAAGAGAACGAUUCCAAAAGUCUCUGCUAUGUUUGCCCCACACAAGAAAGGGAAUGAAAAUCUUUUGA